This is a long non-coding RNA of Melopsittacus undulatus (budgerigar), 486 nucleotides long. RefSeq lists it as uncharacterized. The record is from RefSeq and is a predicted model, not a curated record. The transcript is spliced from 3 exons. Lineage: Eukaryota; Metazoa; Chordata; Aves; Psittaciformes; Psittaculidae.
CUCCGUGUCCCGGGGCCAUCCCCGGCCCCUUCCCGAGAGCUCCCGGCGGCUCCAGCGGGCGCUGCUGCUCCGCAGAGCCGGGACCGACACCGGGGAGGGGCCCCGGGCUCCGGCGGCCGAGUGCUGAGAGCGGAGCCCGAGGGCUGAGCCUGGGCUGGGGCCGCGCUCGGAGCUGGGCAAUGGAGUCCUGAGCGUUGGAGUCUGGAAACCAAGCGGGGCCGGUUCGGGCCUUGAUGCUGCUCCUGUCUGCACGUGAUCCUCCAGAGCAAGACUAGAGGAAAUCCAGGGAAGACUGCUGGGAUGAAUACCUUCCAUCCUCACCCUAUGUACCAGAAAUGGGAUCGUCUGACAGUGAUUUCCUCUUGUUAAAGGCAGUUUCCAUCACUGUGCCAUAGAUGUGCAAGGCUGGGUGAGCACCAGACCGGUGUGCUGGGAUAGCCCGGAGGACGCGCUCUCUCUUGUGCUCAAGCACAGGAGGAGCCGUGG